Long non-coding RNA from Alosa sapidissima (American shad), 676 nucleotides. RefSeq lists it as uncharacterized. The record is from RefSeq and is a predicted model, not a curated record. Lineage: Eukaryota; Metazoa; Chordata; Actinopteri; Clupeiformes; Clupeidae. The transcript is spliced from 3 exons.
CUGGAGAGACAGAAUAAGUGAAAAAUGGGUGAAUGAGGAAGACGGAGAGAAUAGAUGAAGCCCGUGGGAUGUGUUGGUCCAUCUGGAAAAGAUCCCAUGGAUACCAACUUCCAAACGUCCUGUUUUACUACUUCCAGGGGAGUAACCAGCAGAGAAAUGAAAUUUAAAUUGGUGCUAUUGAAGAGUAGCAAAGACAUCUCUCUUAUAAGCUAUUCUGGUUAUACACUGCCUGGCAAAAAAAGAAAAAAAGAAAAAAUCACCAUUGGGGGCAAAUGAUCUGGGGUUGGUCAACUAGUCAAAUCUAUGCUCUGCAACAUUAUGUGGCAAUACAAGGAAGUCACCUGAAUGUACUUAAUGGACAAUGCUAAGACAAUGUUUUUUUUCUCUUCCCUGAUGGCAAGGGCAUACUCCAGGAUGACAAUGCCAGUUCAUAAGGUUUCAAAUUGUGACAGAGUGGUUCAGGUAGAGUUAUCAUUUUUGUCCACCACAGAGUGCUGACCUCAACCCUAAUGAGUCUUCGGGGUUGUGCUGGAGAUCUUGGCAAAAAGAUUAAUGCAAUUGAUGCAAUGGAAUAUUGUGUGCAAGCAAUGUUUUGUUGACCGGGCAGUACAUCCAAAUUGAACUGACAACUGAACACACACAAAAAGUAAAAAUAAAAAAGGUGAAUGAAAUACAA